CCUACGGGAGGCAGCAGUGAGGAAUAUUGGUCAAUGGGCGCGCGCCUGAACCAGCCAAGUAGCGUGAAGGAUGACUGCCCUACGGGUUGUAACCUUCUUUUAUAAGGGAAUACAGUGAGGCACGUGUUCCUUUUUGUAUGUACUUUAUGAAUAAGGAUCGGCCAACUCCGUGCCAUCAGCCGCGGUAAUACGGAGGAUCCGAGCGUUAUCCGGAUUUAUUGGGUUUAAGGGGAGCGGAGAUGGGUUGUUAAGUCAGUUGUGAAAGUUUGCGGCUCAACCGUAGAAUUGCCUUUGAAACUGGGAGGCUUGAGUAUGUUUGAGGCAGGCGGAAUGCGUGGUGUAGCGGUGAAAUGCUUAGAUAUCACGCAGAACCCCGAUGGCGAAGGCAGCUUGCCAAGCCAUGACUGACGCUGAUGCACGAAAGCGUGGGGAUCAAACAGGAUUAGAUACCCCAGUAGUC
RNAcentral lists this ribosomal RNA (460 nucleotides) under uncultured bacterium. Its description in RNAcentral is "partial 16S ribosomal RNA". It matches the Rfam family "Bacterial small subunit ribosomal RNA", at positions 338 to 795 of the family's 1533-position model. The record is from RNAcentral.